Salvelinus sp. IW2-2015 is the source of this 1052-nucleotide non-coding RNA. The record is from RefSeq and is a predicted model, not a curated record. NCBI's taxonomy places the organism in Eukaryota, Metazoa, Chordata, Actinopteri, Salmoniformes, Salmonidae.
CCUGAUUGGUCAGUCUACGUCUAUGAUGAGGCCUGAUUGGUCAGUCUACGCUAUGAUGAGCCCUGAUUGGUCUGUCUACGCUAUGAUGAGCCCUGAUUGGAAGAAGAGAUACAUGGGACUUCAAAGAACACUUCCUGUUCUGACACUACACUGAACGAUUUCUGCCAUGACACCUCUCCUGUUUGUCAGUAUAAACCUCAGACAUUUACAGCACAUUGCACCACUGGAAGGGGCUGAGGGGAGGACGGCUCAUAAUAAUGGCUGGAACGGCGCGAAUGGAAUGACAUCAAACACAUGGAAACUAUGUGUUCAAUGUAUUUUAUACCAUUCCACUGAUUCCGCYCCAGCCAUUACCACAAGCCCGUCCUCCUCAAUGAAGGUGUCACCAACCGCCUGUGCAUUGCACCAGCUUGGUGUCAUGGAACCAUCAAGAGCACUAUCUUCAUGUACUUUAUAGAGUCCUUACAUAUACUAUAUGGAAAGACUAUUUUUUAGACUGUGAAUGGGCGAAAACUUGCCCUAGAUUAAAAUUCCCUAGAAAAUGAACCAGAGUAUUCAAUUCACUUUAUAUGAACUGGAUCAUUUGAUUUCAUCAGAAAUGUUGUGAAUUUAAAUGGAUUGUCGUCUUUGUGAGCUUGGAACCUUCUGUAUGUAUUCCAUCACUAUGUAGGUGUGGCCAUGASGKGAAUGUACUACACACACUGUCUAUGACCCKUGUCCAUUUGUCACUAUGAUCACCUGUAACAAGUCCCAAUGGGUCAUAAUGCCCACCUAUGGACUCAUGGAUGGUUCCUGCUCUGGGCAAAGUUAGUUCAAGCUGGGAUGACCAAUGAAAUGGUACUAGAGGAAACCUGCAUUGUGGAAAACGAACACUGUCCCCGAACAGAGAGAAUGAUGAUAACGAUGAUGUCAAUCAAACAGAUGAAUCUGGCGUACAGUACUCACUGUAUCUAUGGCAUAAUGUUAUAACUGAGGAUCCUAUUCAUAUUAUUGAUGAAUUAUUGUUAUUUGUUGGGUAUUAUUGUUAUAAACCUGGGUAGUUGUUCCAAGUG